RNAcentral lists this ribosomal RNA (468 nucleotides) under uncultured bacterium. RNAcentral describes it as "partial 16S ribosomal RNA". The stretch from base 58 to 468 matches the Rfam family "Bacterial small subunit ribosomal RNA", at positions 39 to 507 of the family's 1533-position model. The record is from RNAcentral.
GGGGGGGGGGGGGGGGGGGGGGGGGGGGGGGGGGGGGGGGGGGGGGGGGCGGGGGGGGUGGGGGGCGCGGGGGGGGGGCGGGUGGGGGAGGCGGGAGUAACGUGGCCUUGACGUGGGGAUCGGUUGAGGAACCUGGGGCUCAUGCCGGCUAGGAGCUCCUGCGGCAUGGGGGGGGUUGGAAAGCUUCGGCGGUUGGGGAUGGACUCGCGGCUUAUCAGCUUGUUGGUGGGGUAGUGGCUUACCAAGGCUUUGACGGGUAGCCGGCCUGAGAGGGUGACCGGCCACAUUGGGACUGAGCUACGGCCCAGACUCCUACGGGAGGCAGCAGUGGGGAAUAUUGCACAAUGGGCGGAAGCCUGAUGCAGCAACGCCGCGUGCGGGAUGACGGCCUUCGGGUUGUAAACCGCUUUCGCCUGUGACGAAGCGUGAGUGACGGUAAUGGGUAAAGAAGCACCGGCUAACUACGUG